GUGGGGCUCCACAAUGGAGACCCCUUCUCCGCUCAUACCUCGCUGCCCUCCAGCUGGGGCCCUUGGAAAAAGCAGAUGUCGUCCCCUUCGGGCUAGGCUGGAAUGAAGCCAAAAGGCCUGGGGCACUUUGGGGGACUGGGGCUGCAGUUAGCCCGCCAGGCCCCUCUGGUCUUCUGCGCCUGCGUUCCCCGUGGAGAGAAGUCCGAGCAAAUUCCGUUCCCUUAGGAGCAACCCGCUAGAGACUAUGGGCACAGCUGGGUAAGGCCUGGGUCCUACUUGAAACUGGAGGGUCAUUUCUCCAGAAACUUUCUUUGGACACUGGUUUGGUCAGCCCUACUCUGGCGGUGGUGCUACAGGGACUGCACAUCAACCUGUGCUUCCUCCUCCCUCGGCCGGAAAAACAAACCUGGGUUCCAGUCCCUGUUAAAGGAGUCUCUGCCAAAAGAUGCUUUGCCGAGCCUCAGUUUCCUUCCCUACCAAAAAGGGUGAGCUAAGGAAACGCAUACAGACAGGAAUGUUCCCAGCCAGUACUGACCUCUAACCCCAACCCGCCUCGAUGUGAAGAACGACUGCCUUGGCCACCACCCCUUGGAGGACCAGCAGACGCCUCUGGAGCAACUGGGGCAUCCCCAUGGCAACCAUGCCAGGCCAGCUUGAGCUGCUUCUACAGUACUUCAGCUAGGCCUCCUUCAUUGGCAAACCAGCCUUACAUCUUGCUGGUUUUUCAACACCAGAGGAAAAGAGGUAAGCUCUUCCCCGCUUCAGUACCUGUUCAGGACUGAAGAUCAGCUCUGAUUGACUGAGCGUGGAUCAUGGGAUGGCCCAUAGUUUCUCAGGGGUUCCGAGAUUUCCAUCAGACCACCCAACUGGAGGAGGAGGAUGCGGUUAUCAGAAUGAUGAGCAGCACAGCUGUUUGAUUUUCCUCCUUCCCUCUGGCAGCAACUCCUCCGUCUCCACUGGCCUCUUCCCUUCAGCCAAGCCUGGAAUGUCGGACUUUGGGGAUCAAGUAAUUAUUGGCCAAGAAACAAAAGCAAAACCAUUCCACUCUCAAUGGAUUCACAUGAAACCUGGGAACGAAGUCAGAUAUGACUCUAAGAGGAGACACUGGGUCUAUAAGGAACAGUACAUGAGACGCCACACAGAUUUAUUGUAGUACCAAGAUCACUGUCACCUUAUUGUAUCAAAUGAAAGUGUCACCACUGUCUGGAUGGUUGGAUAUGUAUUUUAUUGGGAAUAUGAUUUUCUCUUGGUAUGCUCUGCACUGGUAGGUUGAUUCACCUCUAUGUGAAAAAAUAAGAAUGAAACAACAAAAAUCACAUAUCUCAACAUCAAGGAUGAGGAGAAACACAAACUCUCUUACAUUGCUGUUGAGAAUACAAAUUGGUACAACCACUCUGGAAAUCUUCUGCAGUUAUUUACUAAAGCAAGUAUUCUAUGAUCAACAAUUCCACUUCUAGUUAGAUUGUCAAAAAAAUGAGAGCUUCUGUCUACCUGAAGGCAGGCAGAAUGUCCAUAACAGUUUAUUCAUGUUUCCCACACUGGAAACAGACCAAAUAUUCAUCAACAGAAGAAUGGGUAAAUAAGAGUGAUUAAUUCUUACAAUGGAAUAUUACACAGCAAUAAAAAGAACUAGUGCUGAUAAUAAACAACAUGGGUUGCGUGAGACCCUGGUUUCAUUUCCAGCACUGCAAAACCAAACAUCAACAAAAGAAUGUACACACUGUGUAAUUACAAUUUUAGAAAGCUUGAAACCUGGCAUAACUAAUCCACAAUGCAAGAGGCCAGGUGGGGUUACCCAUGGAGUGGUGCUAACUUGCAGGGGACAGGGGAGAGCCUGCUGGAGGGCUGGCGUCGUUCCACUCUUGAUCUGGUGGUGAAUAUGUGGUGGGUGUAUGUAUUUAAAAUUGAUCUGUACAUUUUACUGUACCUAAAUUAUACCCCGAUAAAAUGGGAGAAUCAUGUAACUGCCAAUUAUUAAGGGUGAUAUUAUUGAGUCAGGUCUUUGUGCCAGGAACAGACUAAGUCUUUAUUCUUUAUUUAAUUGAUAUUGCAGUGUUAGCCUGAAAAUAUCAUUUUUCAUAGGCAUGUUGUAAGAAAGGAAUAAAACCAAACUGUUCUGUAAUAUUUGGGAGGACUCUUCAUUCAGGCUGCUCCAGGAAUAAUUAAUCCUAAGGUUUGGGCAGCUGCCACCUGAUGUUGUUUUGGUUUGUUGUUUGGAAAUCCUCAAUUGGAUGUAUCUGGAUUCUUGGCUUGUGAAUUUAGUUACAGCUCGAGCAUAAUAAUACACAGCUUUUUAUUUGUAGUUUUCUUUUCUUUGGCCACCGAUUCAGGAAGAAGGAGUUUGUGUAGAAUGUCAACAUCAGUCAGCAGAAGACCACCAGGAACACACCUGUAAUUAAUAAAAUUAGGUUUCUCUGUCUUGCAGAAGGGAGAAUGCGCCUCAGAGGCGCGUUUGUGUUUGUGUGUUUGUGUUGGAUGAUUCUGAGGAGAUUAGGGAAGGAAAGGCCAAUUCUGGACUGGAUGCUUUAGGAAGCAGGGACAAUUGAUGUGAGCCAUUAAGGUCGUGACAGGUGUGAGUGUAUGUGUGUAUGUGUGUGUGUGUGCGCACACGCGCAAGUACACAAUACAGACCAGGUUGGAAAAAGAUGGAAAGGGCCCAACUGGGCAGAUGGAGAAUAUCUCGCGCAACUGCUCAUGUA
RNA transcript from Sciurus carolinensis (gray squirrel), 2699 nucleotides. RefSeq lists it as uncharacterized. The transcript has 5 exons. The record is from RefSeq and is a predicted model, not a curated record. Lineage: Eukaryota; Metazoa; Chordata; Mammalia; Rodentia; Sciuridae.